GACGAACGCUGGCGGCGUGCCUAAUACAUGCAAGUAGAACGCUGAAGAGAGGCGCUUGCUCUUCUUGGAUGAGUUGCGAACGGGUGAGUAACGCGUAGGUAACCUGCCUUGUAGCGGGGGAUAACUAUUGGAAACGAUAGCUAAUACCGCAUAACAAUGGAUGACACAUGUCAUUUAUUUGAAAGGGGCAAUUGCUCCACUACAAGAUGGACCUGCGUUGUAUUAGCUAGUAGGUGAGGUAAUGGCUCACCUAGGCGACGAUACAUAGCCGACCUGAGAGGGUGAUCGGCCACACUGGGACUGAGACACGGCCCAGACUCCUACGGGAGGCAGCAGUAGGGAAUCUUCGGCAAUGGGGGCAACCCUGACCGAGCAACGCCGCGUGAGUGAAGAAGGUUUUCGGAUCGUAAAGCUCUGUUGUAAGUCAAGAACGGGUGUGAGAGUGGAAAGUUCACACUGUGACGGUAGCUUACCAGAAAGGGACGGCUAACUACGUG
This 497-nucleotide ribosomal RNA is filed under the name uncultured bacterium. Its description in RNAcentral is "partial 16S ribosomal RNA". It matches the Rfam family "Bacterial small subunit ribosomal RNA", at positions 28 to 507 of the family's 1533-position model. The record is from RNAcentral.